GAUAUUAAAUUAAACCGGUGUUGCAAAGACCGGCUCCUUUUAGGUAAAUAUAUAUUAAACACGCCAUUCGCUGUAUUAAAAAUGGCGGCGUAUCACGUAUGUUUAGCACUGGUGAUAUUUGUAGAAGUUAAUUCACUUCCGACUAAACUUAAUAGAAUAACAGAUACUAAUAAGACUGGUGAAAGAAACGCGAUAGCUGGUGAAGAAAAUGUGAAGAUGGCGAAAGUAAUUGAACAUUUUAGUGGUGUUUUAGGAGACGUUGUUGAUAGCCCGGAUAUAGCUGAAGAUGUUGUGAAGUAUCGGAAAGAAAGAAGUUCUGAUGAUGACUAUCCCGAUGAAGGUGGUUUUACCAGUGCAAACAAAAAGAAUGAUGACGAUUUCAUAGCAAACGUACAAAAAUGCUCGGCAAACAACACUAGAGCACCAUGGGGGAAGUGUAUUACCUGCACUGAGUAUUUCGCGAAAUUGAAAAAAAGAGGGAAAGGUUGCAACUGAAGAAUAUACAAUAUCUUCUCAUCUCGUCAAAUUGUUAUAUUCUAACACAUUUUAAUUAAUGAUUGUGGUCAUACCAACCAACUAAAUUAUUUUUACUUUAAUGAUACUCAUUUUAUUUAGAUACUGUACUAUAAUUAUUGUAUUAAAUUUUAUGUCGUUCCUUGCGCCUACAGUUUCGUUAAAUAACACAUUCAGUACGAUUAUUUUUGUGAAAUACUUUUACAAUAAAAUACAAUGACGU
This is a long non-coding RNA of Leptidea sinapis, 736 nucleotides long. RefSeq lists it as uncharacterized. The record is from RefSeq and is a predicted model, not a curated record. The transcript has 2 exons. Lineage: Eukaryota; Metazoa; Arthropoda; Insecta; Lepidoptera; Pieridae.